UUUGUUUUUUAAUUAAAAACUAGAAUGAAAGAUUUUACAUUUUAAUUUCUUUAUUAAAUAUCAUAUAUAAAUUUAUAUUAAAUAUAAAAAUAUAUUUAUAAUAUAAAAAGACGACAAGACCCUAUUAAAUUUUACUUAUUGUUUAGCUGGGGCAGCUUUUUAAAUAAAAUUUUAAAAUUAUUUAUAUAUUAAUAAAAAUCUAAUAUAAUUAAAUUAAUCUAAUUACUAUAGGGAUAACAGCGUUAUAUUUUUUUCAAGUUCAUAUUAAAAAAAAUCAUUGCGACCUCGAUGUUGAAUUAUAUUUCUUUAUAAUGCAACAA
Molecule: ribosomal RNA, 320 nt
Filed under: Anelosimus may
Lineage: Eukaryota; Metazoa; Arthropoda; Arachnida; Araneae; Theridiidae
Description: partial 16S ribosomal RNA
Source: RNAcentral